AUGCCAGGUGUAUCGAGGGAACUCGCUGAGCACACUCUUAAUAUUGAUCCCAAGUUUAAACCGGUCAAGCAGUUUCUUCGUUGCUUUAAUGAAGAGAGACGCAAGGCCAUUGGCGAGGAGGUAGCCCGGCUUUUGGCAGCAGGGUUUAUUAUGGAGGUAUUUCACCCUGAGUGGUUGGCUAACCCAGUGCUAGUACUCAAGAAGAAUGGCACUUGUCGUAUGUGUGUGGACUACACAGAUUUGAACAAGGCUUGCACAGCUGAUCCCUUUGCCCUCCCCCGUAUUGAUCAGAUUAUUGAUGCUACGGUGGGUUGUGAGCGGUUGAGCUUUCUGGAUGCUUAUUCGGGUUAUCAUUAG
RNAcentral lists this ribosomal RNA (357 nucleotides) under Triticum aestivum (bread wheat). RNAcentral's name for it is "partial small subunit ribosomal RNA". The record is from RNAcentral. Lineage: Eukaryota; Viridiplantae; Streptophyta; Magnoliopsida; Poales; Poaceae.